GACGAACGCUGGCGGCGUGCUUAACACAUGCAAGUCGAACGGAAAGGCCCUGCUUUUGUGGGGUGCUCGAGUGGCGAACGGGUGAGUAACACGUGAGUAACCUGCCCUUGACUUUGGGAUAACUUCAGGAAACUGGGGCUAAUACCGGAUAGGAGCUCCUGCUGCAUGGUGGGGGUUGGAAAGUUUCGGCGGUUGGGGAUGGACUAGCGGCUUAUCAGCUUGUUGGUGGGGUAGUGGCUUACCAAGGCUUUGACGGGUAGCCGGCCUGAGAGGGUGACCGGCCACAUUGGGACUGAGAUACGGCCCAGACUCCUACGGGAGGCAGCAGUGGAGAAUAUUGCACAAUGGGCGGAAGCCUGAUGCAGCAACGCCGCGUGCGGGAUGACGGCCUUCGGGUUGUAAACCGCUUUCGCCUGUGACGAAGCGUGAGUGACGGUAAUGGGUAAAGAAGCACCGGCUAACUACGUG
RNAcentral lists this ribosomal RNA (468 nucleotides) under uncultured bacterium. Its description in RNAcentral is "partial 16S ribosomal RNA". It matches the Rfam family "Bacterial small subunit ribosomal RNA", at positions 28 to 507 of the family's 1533-position model. The record is from RNAcentral.